UAGGUAGACGCCAUCAAACGAUCAGACAGAGCAAAAAUCAAGCCGGCCGGACGCCAGUCACAAAGUACGCCAGCGGGCGACGGGCGCUCCGCGGCACGCAAACGACAAGGGGCCGGCCUACGCCGGUCACGAAGCAGAGCAAACAGCAGGCUGCGUGACCGCAGCCUGCACUAGGAGCGCUCAGCCAGAGGCCUCGCUACUUCCUAAUGAUCCUUCCGCAGGUUCACCUACGGAAA
Molecule: unclassified non-coding RNA, 236 nt
Filed under: uncultured fungus
Lineage: Eukaryota; Fungi
Description: sequence contains ITS1
Source: RNAcentral